This 857-nucleotide ribosomal RNA is filed under the name Bacillus sp. BLQ-2/A7. RNAcentral describes it as "bacterial SSU rRNA". The stretch from base 1 to 767 matches the Rfam family "Bacterial small subunit ribosomal RNA". Lineage: Bacteria; Bacillati; Bacillota; Bacilli; Caryophanales; Bacillaceae. The record is from RNAcentral.
GGGGAAGGCGCGCUAUCUGCAGUCGAGCGAACUGAUUAGAAGCUUGCUUCUAUGACGUUAGCGGCGGACGGGUGAGUAACACGUGGGCAACCUGCCUGUAAGACUGGGAUAACUUCGGGAAACCGAAGCUAAUACCGGAUAGGAUCUUCUCCUUCAUGGGAGAUGAUUGAAAGAUGGUUUCGGCUAUCACUUACAGAUGGGCCCGCGGUGCAUUAGCUAGUUGGUGAGGUAACGGCUCACCAAGGCAACGAUGCAUAGCCGACCUGAGAGGGUGAUCGGCCACACUGGGACUGAGACACGGCCCAGACUCCUACGGGAGGCAGCAGUAGGGAAUCUUCCGCAAUGGACGAAAGUCUGACGGAGCAACGCCGCGUGAGUGAUGAAGGCUUUCGGGUCGUAAAACUCUGUUGUUAGGGAAGAACAAGUACGAGAGUAACUGCUCGUACCUUGACGGUACCUAACCAGAAAGCCACGGCUAACUACGUGCCAGCAGCCGCGGUAAUACGUAGGUGGCAAGCGUUAUCCGGAAUUAUUGGGCGUAAAGCGCGCGCANGCGGUUUCUUAAUUCUGAUGUGAAAGCCCACGGCUCAACCGUGGAGGGUCAUUGGAAACUGUGUAACUUGAGUGCACAACACAAAAAAAGAAAUCCCUCUCUAUCCGUUCAAUUGCUAUAGAAUUGUAGGAUAAACCAACCGAAUGCGUCUUUUUUCUUCUACUCCAUCUCAUGAUCUAAGCAGGUGUCGCUUCCUAUUUUAAAUACCGAAAUCUAACGUGUAAGUCAAUAUUGUUACUAAUUUGUAACAUUUUGUUUUUUCUACCGUAUACAAGGUCGUCUGCAAAUUUGCAAAUUAGAAGAG